Cyprinus carpio carpio is the source of this 828-nucleotide long non-coding RNA. The record is from Ensembl. NCBI's taxonomy places the organism in Eukaryota, Metazoa, Chordata, Actinopteri, Cypriniformes, Cyprinidae.
GUGUGUGUGUGUUGCUCUGCUCUCGAUCCUCCAUGUGGUAAUGCUUUUGUUGCAUAAGUAAGAUCUGAUUUGAUGACCCUGAACUGCUGCCUUUUUCCAUUCAUGUCUGUUUAAGCGUUAAUGGAUGAUUGUGUUCUGUCAGGACCUCACAUCGCCCUCUGACCCGCACACUGCUAAAGGAAAAACCAUAAAUACAUCCCGGCCGCGGUCCAAGGAAGAGAUUCGACACGAUACAUCCUCGGCCUCUCAUUGUAUUACCGUAUGGACCGCUGAAAUACAGAGAAUGACAUUUGUUCAUUUCAGCACACUGUGACCAUUUCAAGAAUCUGGGACAAUUAUAUUGAAUAAUUCUACUCCCCUCCGCCAUAUUGUUAUUCAAACAAUCGUCUAUUCCACGAACACUCAAACGCACACCGUCCGUCUUCCUUAAUGCCUUCCAAAGAGCGUCAUUUGAGAAUGUCAGUUGCGAGCCUAAUUUCAGAAUAAUCUCACCUCGCUAAUGCAGCCCAGGAGGACGUCCAGCUUUUCCUCAUGCCGCUGUUUUAUUGCGCUCACAUUUUUGGACUCGGCAGAUCUCAUCAGUAGCUGUCCGCGGAUUUUGGCCCAACUCUACACUUUCCCUUGGAACGAGCCCAGCGGUAGAUGGAAGCUAUUAGGUCAGGAAGAGAGAAGUCAGUCAGUCAGUCAUACGGGUUUAGAACGACAUGAGGAUGAUAUGUGUGGUAACAGAAUAUGCAUGUCAGUAGUAAAAGCACUGAUUCAUCGGCCGUGAUGAAGAGGAUUUUCCCUUCUUUGUAAUUUUAUGGCGCUACACGGUGAAUGAAGAAC